Molecule: signal recognition particle RNA, 97 nt
Filed under: Alphaproteobacteria bacterium
Lineage: Bacteria; Pseudomonadati; Pseudomonadota; Alphaproteobacteria
Description: signal recognition particle sRNA small type
Rfam family: Bacterial small signal recognition particle RNA
About the family: The signal recognition particle (SRP) is a universally conserved ribonucleoprotein involved in the co-translational targeting of proteins to membranes. Archaeal SRP consists of a 7S RNA and homologues of the eukaryotic SRP19 and SRP54 proteins.
Source: RNAcentral
AAUGAAGGGCAAAAGGUCGGUUUAUUUGCCAACCCGGUCAGAUUCGGAAGAAAGCAGCCGUAACAAAUAUUGCUGAGGUUUUUGCCCCUUCGCCUUU